UUCGCAAUGCCCGAAAGGGUGACAAUGCGACGCCGCGUGAGCGAUGAAGGCCUUCGGGUUGUAAAGCUCUGUCAGCUUGGAUGAAAUGCAGGCGGAAUAAUUCCGUCUCUGUCUGACGGUACAAGCAGAGGAAGUCACGGCUAACUCCGUGCCAGCAGCCGCGGUAAUUCGGAGGUGACAAGCGUUGUUCGGAACCACUGGGCGUAAAGCGCGCGCAGGCUGCGAUGUAAGUCGGUUGUGAAAGCCCCCGGCUCAACCGGGGAAUUGCUUCCGAUACUGCAUUGCUCGAGUGUGGGAGGGGAGAGUGGAACUCCUGGUGGAGCGGUGAAAUGCGUAGAUAUCAGGAGGAACGCCGGAGGCGAAAGCGACUCUCUGGCCCACAUCUGACGCUGAGUGCGCGAAAGCUAGGGUAGCGAAAGGGAUUAGAUACCCCUGUAGUCCUAGCCGUAAACGAUGGGCACUAAGUAGAGGGGUUUU
RNAcentral lists this ribosomal RNA (477 nucleotides) under uncultured anaerobic ammonium-oxidizing bacterium. Its description in RNAcentral is "bacterial SSU rRNA". It matches the Rfam family "Bacterial small subunit ribosomal RNA", at positions 365 to 832 of the family's 1533-position model. The record is from RNAcentral.